RNAcentral lists this long non-coding RNA (340 nucleotides) under Saimiri boliviensis boliviensis (Bolivian squirrel monkey). Its description in RNAcentral is "lncRNA (ENSSBOG00000036437.1)". The record is from RNAcentral. Lineage: Eukaryota; Metazoa; Chordata; Mammalia; Primates; Cebidae.
CUCUGUCAUACCAGAGAGCUCAGCAUCUGAAAAUGAAACAGUUACUGAAUUCUCUGGGACAGCUGCUAUAUCUACAACUUCCCACACAGAGGCCACAACUUCAACAGAAGGCCGCAGCAUUCCUCCGUCUGGAUCCAGCCCAGUAGGUACCACUCCAGCAUCAGGAGGCCAAGCAACUGGGAGCCUGACAGCCACCACUGGGGUAGCUCCUGGCAUGACUGUUGCACCUGGCAGUUCCAACACAGAAGCCACAACUUCUGUAGGAGAAAAUGGAAAAACAAGAGCUCAAAUAAUCACAGGUGAGCUCAGCUAAGGAACUAAGUGUACUUUGUAAUACCUU